RNAcentral lists this ribosomal RNA (334 nucleotides) under Ligilactobacillus salivarius. Its description in RNAcentral is "bacterial SSU rRNA". It matches the Rfam family "Bacterial small subunit ribosomal RNA", at positions 1 to 310 of the family's 1533-position model. Lineage: Bacteria; Bacillati; Bacillota; Bacilli; Lactobacillales; Lactobacillaceae. The record is from RNAcentral.
UUAAAAUGAGAGUUUGAUCCUGGCUCAGGACGAACGCUGGCGGCGUGCCUAAUACAUGCAAGUCGAACGAAACUUUCUUACACCGAAUGCUUGCAUUCAUCGUAAGAAGUUGAGUGGCGGACGGGUGAGUAACACGUGGGUAACCUGCCUAAAAGAAGGGGAUAACACUUGGAAACAGGUGCUAAUACCGUAUAUCUCUAAGGAUCGCAUGAUCUUUAGAUGAAAGAUGGUUCUGCUAUCGCUUUUAGAUGGACCCGCGGCGUAUUAACUAGUUGGUGGGGUAACGGCCUACCAAGGUGAUGAUACGUAGCCGAACUGAGAGGUUGAUCGGCCA